UGGGGAAUAUUGGACAAUGGGCGCAAGCCUGAUCCAGCCAUACCGCGUGGGUGAAGAAGGCCUUCGGGUUGUAAAGCCCUUUUGUUGGGAAAGAAAUCCGGCUGGUUAAUACCCGGUUGGGAUGACGGUACCCAAAGAAUAAGCACCGGCUAACUUCGUG
This 160-nucleotide ribosomal RNA is filed under the name uncultured bacterium. RNAcentral describes it as "partial 16S ribosomal RNA". It matches the Rfam family "Bacterial small subunit ribosomal RNA", at positions 355 to 507 of the family's 1533-position model. The record is from RNAcentral.